Long non-coding RNA from Leopardus geoffroyi (Geoffroy's cat), 1642 nucleotides. RefSeq lists it as uncharacterized. Lineage: Eukaryota; Metazoa; Chordata; Mammalia; Carnivora; Felidae. The transcript is spliced from 3 exons. The record is from RefSeq and is a predicted model, not a curated record.
AAUGAGGAUCUGUCCGAGGACCAGCAGAAAGCAGCCCACCAGCAUCUUCUCCAUCUUCAAGAAGAGGAAGAGGGGCAAGGCUGUGACAAACACAAGAAGAGGAGAGAGCAGGAAAUCAGGAUUAUUACUUCUGCUUUUUGGAGAUGAGGAAACUGAGGCUCAGAGAAGCUCAGCGAUUUGAUCAAGGUCAUGCAGCUAAAAGUCCCCCAGGACUGGAGCCACAGCAAGAUCCGAGGCUCAUCUUCCACCCGAGACCGGAAUCCCCACCUCCUUCCUGCCUGUCUGGCCAUCGGAACCCAACCACUGCUCAGACUCAAGGCCAUGGCUUGCACGUGGCUUUAAAUGUUAGACUGCCCUUUGCCUUCAAGUCGCCCUGACAUUGCCUGUCUGUGAUUUUUUCACCCAGUGAAAAAGGCCUGCUUGUCAGCUCAGCCUUUCCAAAGUUCAAGCUCAUCUUCUUCCACUCAAGCCCUUUCACGGUCAGGGUAGCCCAUGUGCUCAGCCACCAGCCAGGAAACUUGCAGCCAGCCUCCAUGUCUUCCUCGUAUCACCAUCACAUUCACAAGUGGGCAAACCCUGGUUUCCCACCUCUCUCCGUCCCACCCUCCUGACUGUCCUAUUGCCACAGCAAGGCUCUGUGCUCUCCUUUUCUCGCCCGGACUCUUCCCGGAGCUUCAGAACCGCUCUUUCUGCUUGGCGUCUUUCACCCACUGGUCCUGUCCCUCCUCUGUUCAGAACCCAUCUGUGGCCUUACUGCAUCACAUUAAUGGUCAAGGCUCUCCUUGACUGACUGCUGCCCACCUCUCCAACAAUGGCAAUCCCACAGCCACCCGGACCUCCCACUGGGGCCUGAAGAACUGAGAUUCUUGUCAUAGCUGAGUGCCUCCAUCCAUGCUGGUCCCUUGGCCUGGAAGCUCUACGUUAGUCAAAAUUGCAUUCAUUCCUCGAGGCUCAGCUCAUUGUGUCACCCACUCUCUAACAUGUUCUCAAUUUUCCCAAUGAGGAUCGACUUUCCUAUACACCCCUGACAAUGGGUUUGUUGUCUGCUCCAGCACUUGAGUUUUCUUGCUACCAUAUCUGUCUCCCAGCCUAGUCUGUGAGCUGUUCCCUGGGACCAUACAUUGUCAUCGCUGUAUCACCCACAUGCUGGGUGCUGAAUUUUAUAAAUACAUUUUUAGAAAAUAGACAAAUGUUGAAUAAGCACAUUUAUUGAUGAAUGAAAGAUCGAUAAAUGUUGACUCAAACUGGCCCUAGUUCUGUAGCUGACAAGUGCCAUGCCCCAACUCAUGUCUUCGUAUACAUACUACAUUUGCCUAACUACAGGUGACUCCAAUGGCUAUCUCUUAUGAUGGGAGGAUCCCCUCCCCCAAAUUUCUCAGCCAAGUUUCUCUGUCUGGGUGAAGGACGCCAGGCAGAAAGAGCAGUUCCGAAGCUCCGGGAAGAGUCUGGGUGAGAAAAGUUAAAUAUAUAAUUUUUAAAAGAUAUAGAUAAAGUAUAAAAUAUCUAGUUAUAAUAAACUCAUGUAUCAAUUUAGUCACAAACGCAUAUUCAAAACAUUUUAAAUUACAAAAUAAUACAUCACUUUACAAAUAAUGCUCUUUUCAUUAAAAAUGUUUCAUAGGGGCUCCUGGGUGGCUCAGUC